RNAcentral lists this non-coding RNA (767 nucleotides) under Ixodes scapularis (black-legged tick). RNAcentral's name for it is "Eukaryotic large subunit ribosomal RNA". It matches the Rfam family "Eukaryotic large subunit ribosomal RNA", at positions 1633 to 2316 of the family's 3401-position model. Lineage: Eukaryota; Metazoa; Arthropoda; Arachnida; Ixodida; Ixodidae. The record is from Rfam by way of RNAcentral.
GGCCCAGUGCGGUACGCAACCAGCUCGAGACGCCGAUGCGAGCCCGGGAAGAGUUUCUUUCUCUGUAAGGAGAUCGAGUCCCUGGAAUGGGUUCGCCCCGAGAUAGGGAUGGUGGCUCCGUAGAGCAGUGCGGUUCUUGCGCUGUCCGGUGCGCUCGCGUCGGCCCUUGAAAAUCCGAGUGAGGGAGUGUGAUUUUCGUGCCGGACCGUACCCACAUCCGCAGCAGGUCUCCAAGGUGAACAGCCUCUAGUCGAUGGACCAAUGUAGGUAAGGGAAGUCGGCAAAACGGAUCCGUAACCUUGGGAUAAGGAUUGGCUCUGAGGACUGAGCCGGUCGGGCUGGGGACCUGAAGCAGGAACGGCACUGCACCGGGACUGGGCGGGGCUCGCCGUUCACGCGGCGCGGCCAAGCCCGGACCAGCGUCGGGACCUUCCUGUGGAAAGCCUCAGCUGCGCGGCGUCUGAGGGCUUCGUGCCCAAAGUGCUAUGCUUCGGCCGGCAAAAAACAGUCAACUCAGAACUGGCACGGACCGGGGGAAUCCGACUGUCUAAUUAAAACAAAGCAUUGCGAUGGCCGCUGGUCGGUGUUGACGCAAUGUGAUUUCUGCCCAGUGCUCUGAAUGUCAACGUGAAGAGAUUCAUCAAAGCGCGGGUAAACGGCGGGAGUAACUAUGACUCUCUUGUUCCAAAGGAAGGCACUCCUUUGGUUCGUGAUGAGAUGUUCAUGGUGCUUGCCUAGCUGGAGAAAUCCGACUCACACCUGCACGU